Long non-coding RNA from Zophobas morio, 620 nucleotides. RefSeq lists it as uncharacterized. The transcript is spliced from 5 exons. The record is from RefSeq and is a predicted model, not a curated record. Lineage: Eukaryota; Metazoa; Arthropoda; Insecta; Coleoptera; Tenebrionidae.
CAAAAUUAUUUUAAGUUAUUUGUUAGCUAUAACAUAUUUGUGACGGACGCUGACAGCGUUGUACUGAACAAUCCCUUUGCUUAUGUGGAUUUGCACAGCCGUCGGUGCGACUUCCACUGGCAAGUUGAUGGAAAGGACGCAUUCACUUCUGGUUAAACGAGCAGCGGCUUCCAAGGCAAAUCUUACGUUUAUCAUAACACAGAAGAACUUGCGUGGCGGCCAUAUUUUAACGCCGGUGUCUAUUUUGCUUCAAGUAACGAGCGCACAAAAAAUUUUUUUCAAAUUUGGUUAAAAGCUUAUCAGUGCCUUAAAGGAAGAAGAGAGCAGCACGCGCUAAUUAUAGCCAUGCAUAACUUUUAUAGAGGAAAAUGGAUUCUUGUUGGCAAAGAGGAUAAAUCCGAAGGCAUACCGGAGCAUCUUACAAAAUUUUGUUACUUGGAACAAAAAAACUUUCCGGACGGCGGCUACUUUUUAUACAAAAAAAAAUACGAGGAAGCUUUUGGGAACGUUAGCCGAGACGAACUCGCGAUUCUUCAUGCCAACAACAUGAAUCAAAACAACCAUAUGAAACUGUAUUAUUUACAGAAGGAGAAAGCUUGGUAUGUGACAAAAGAUCUACA